AGGAAGUUUGAUCCUUGCUUAGCUUUUAGUCUGUGUUGAGGUACAUGAAAGUUAAUGCUUAGUUGAAAAUUAUAGGAGUAUAGCAGUGUGGUUGAGAGUUCUCAGUAUACAGGAUUGGUAUAUAGAAUAGUUUCUGAUCCAGCAAUCAGAUAUGUAGUCCAGGCUAAAACUGUGCCAGCAGCCGCGGUUAUACUGAUAGGGUAAUUAAAAGCGUAUCGGGAGUGAGGUACUAAGAUCUUGUAGUAGAUAAUUUUACUUAGUAUAAAAGGUGAAAUUUGUUAUUUCAUGGUAGAAUUGUUUUGAGAUGGUGAUUUUGAUUCUUCGAAGUCUAGGAGGUAAAAUAGGAUUAGAUACCCUAAUAUACUUAGAUGAAAUAUAUAAAAUCUUUGAGUAGUAAACAGUUAUAAGCUCGAAACUCAAAGGAUUUGGCGGUACUUAAGUCUAGUUAGAGGAAUUUGUGCAGUAAACGAUAAUCCGCGAGUAUCUAGCCUUACUUUGUAAGUAUCAGUUUGUAUACCGCCAUUAUUAGGUAAUUUUUAUAGAGAGUUACUGGGAUUGAGAGGAGUCAAGUAUAUUAGGUCAAGGUGCAGCUAAUAGUGAGGAUGUUGUGAAUUACAAUGAGAUAAGUAAUAUACGAAUAGAUUAUGGGAGUGAGUAAUUUUGAAGGUGGAUUUAAUUGUAAAGUAUGUAUAUAAUGCAUGCUUGGUAAAAGCUCUUGAGUAUGUACACAUCGCCCGUCGUUCUCACUUUAAGGUGAGGUAAGUCGUAACAUAGUAGAUGUGUUGGAAAAGGCAUCUAGUAAUAU
This 805-nucleotide non-coding RNA is filed under the name Alpheus randalli. The record is from RNAcentral. Lineage: Eukaryota; Metazoa; Arthropoda; Malacostraca; Decapoda; Alpheidae.